AGUGAACGCUGGCGGUAGGCCUAACACAUGCAAGUCGAACGGCAGCACAGUAAGAGCUUGCUCUUACGGGUGGCGAGUGGCGGACGGGUGAGGAAUACAUCGGAAUCUACUUUUUCGUGGGGGAUAACGUAGGGAAACUUACGCUAAUACCGCAUACGACCUACGGGUGAAAGCAGGGGAUCUUCGGACCUUGCGCGAUUGAAUGAGCCGAUGUCGGAUUAGCUAGUUGGCGGGGUAAAGGCCCACCAAGGCGACGAUCCGUAGCUGGUCUGAGAGGAUGAUCAGCCACACUGGAACUGAGACACGGUCCAGACCCCUACGGGAGGCAGCAGUGGGGAAUAUUGGACAAUGGGCGAAAGCCUGAUCCAGCCAUACCGCGUGGGUGAAGAAGGCCUUCGGGUUGUAAAGCCCUUUUGUUGGGAAAGAAAAGCAGCAGGUUAAUCCCCCGCUGUUCUGACGUUACCCAAAGAAUAAGCACCGGCUAACUUCGU
This 491-nucleotide ribosomal RNA is filed under the name uncultured bacterium. RNAcentral's name for it is "partial 16S ribosomal RNA". It matches the Rfam family "Bacterial small subunit ribosomal RNA", at positions 29 to 506 of the family's 1533-position model. The record is from RNAcentral.